GACGAACGCUGGCGGCGUGCCUAAUACAUGCAAGUAGAACGCACAGUUUAUACCGUAGCUUGCUACACCAUAGACUGUGAGUUGCGAACGGGUGAGAACGCGUAGGUAACCUGCCUGGUAGCGGGGGAUAACUAUUGGAAACGAUAGCUAAUACCGCAUAAUAUUAAUUAUUGCAUGAUAAUUAAUUGAAAGGUGCAAUUGCACCACUACCAGAUGGACCUGCGUUGUAUUAGCUAGUAGGUGAGGUAACGGCUCACCUAGGCGACGAUACAUAGCCGACCUGAGAGGGUGAUCGGCCACACUGGGACUGAGACACGGCCCAGACUCCUACGGGAGGCAGCAGUAGGGAAUCUUCGGCAAUGGACGAAAGUCUGACCGAGCAACGCCGCGUGAGUGAAGAAGGUUUUCGGAUCGUAAAGCUCUGUUGUAAGAGAAGAACGGGUGUGAGAGUGGAAAGUUCACACUGUGACGGUAUCUUACCAGAAAGGGACGGCUAACUACGUG
This 504-nucleotide ribosomal RNA is filed under the name uncultured bacterium. RNAcentral describes it as "partial 16S ribosomal RNA". It matches the Rfam family "Bacterial small subunit ribosomal RNA", at positions 28 to 507 of the family's 1533-position model. The record is from RNAcentral.